This is a long non-coding RNA of Triticum aestivum (bread wheat), 1218 nucleotides long. RefSeq lists it as uncharacterized. The record is from RefSeq and is a predicted model, not a curated record. The transcript has 3 exons. NCBI's taxonomy places the organism in Eukaryota, Viridiplantae, Streptophyta, Magnoliopsida, Poales, Poaceae.
CUCCCAUCCAAAAAAACCACCCCACCCCACCCGCUGCCCCGAUCCCCACCUUGACCUCGCUCGAUCCCCUCCCUCGAGUGCCGCCACCCUCGCUGGAUCUCGCCGCCAUGCACGCCUCCUCCCGCCGGCCAACCUACCCAAGGCGCCGCCGCCCCCCGACCUACCAGCGCGGGGUCGCUGGGCGCCGCCCACGCCACCGGGAACCUGCUGCCGCACUUCCGCCAUGGCCGCACGCUCCUCCGCGGCCCAAUCGUCGCCUCCGCCAGGGAUCCUCGAGCACCAUCAUCCUGGCAUGCAGAUCAUGGCCGCCUCCCCACGCAGUCCCCUUCUUGCUGCCGACGUGAAUCCUGUCAACCCCUUCCUCUUCUCCUUCUCUUCCUCCAGUGAUCUUUGCUGGAUUCUGCCGCCGUCAACACCAGGCAUCGGAACCCCGUCCCUGCACUCCAUCGCCGCGCCCUGUCUUCUUCUCGCUGCGGCUGCUCCACAUCGCGUCCGCCCGCCGUCGCGACGCCCCCAACUCGUCUGCUUUCCCCAACCCCUGCUGGUUGACCUUCUCACAAAGGCCACCUCGACCUUCUCGAGGAAGGUUACUUCCGAGGAUCCGGCUCGCAAGGUGCACACCAUCUCGUCCUAGCUGCUUGUGUGUGAAGAUCCGCCGGCCUGAAGAUGCAAGAGACCUAUCUGCCCAGCAAAAUGCUGCACUUUUGGUGCAAUACGGUCAAGAUGAACUCAACAAUCUCUGAGGCGAUGGCACAACCGGAAAGUAUGAGGAGUGGGACCGUGUGUAUCGCUAUGACUACUACAACGACCUCGGUGAGCCAGACAAGGGCCAUCCGCGCCCGGUUCUCGGCGGCACCCAUGAACUCCCCUAUCCCCGUCGUUGCAGAACUGGCCAACCCCCAUCAAAAACAGACCCUAGAUCGGAGAGCAGAAUUCCUCAGUACAAGAUACAGGAGGCCCUCAACAUCACUGUUCCGCGUGAUGGUAUUUAUGCAUGUUCCUAGUUGCUACGGCAAUGCUGGAUUUAAUCAUCCUAGGAGAGAAGAAGCAAAAAGACAAUCAAAGUGUGAGAGAGAACACGUACAAUGAUGAGAGGACAAAAAAUGUGUGGUGGUGAAUAGCUCCACUGCAUUGCCAUUUGGCCCCAUUUUGCCCAUUUAGCCAGUGUCCUUUUCAAAGUGUUCAUCUUUAAAGAUAAUGGAUCCAAUUUCUUUAGUA